AGAGAGAGACAUGCGCGCAUAUCAAUAAGCGGAGGAAAAGAAACUAACAAGGAUUCCCCUAGUAACGGCGAGUGAAGCGGGAAGAGCUCAAAUUUGAAAUCUUCAAGGUUCUACCUUGACGAAUUGUAGUUUAAAGAAGUGUUUUCUGUUGGAGUUUUGGUAAAAGUUCUUUGGAAUAGGACAUCAUAGAGGGUGAGAAUCCCGUAUUUGACCAUUAUUUCCAGCUUUGUGGUACACUUUCAAAGAGUCGGAUUGUUUGGGAAUGCAGUCCAAAAUGGGUGGUAAAUUUCAUCUAAAGCUAAAUAUUGGCGAGAGACCGAUAGCGAACAAGUACCGUGAGGGAAAGAUGAAAAGAACUUUGAAAAGAGAGUUAAACAGUACGUGAAAUUGUCAAAAGGGAAGCGUUUGACACCAGUGUUGUUUUCUCGAAAAUCAAUUAAAAAGAGUUAGAUUUUGUUGUGUAUUGACCUUAACAGCUUGCAUUUCAAUUUUCUUGCUUUUUUUAAUGCACUUUUCGUUUAACAAGUCAACAUCAAUUUCUUUUGUUGUAAAAGGGUCAUUGGAAGGUGGCUUUCUUUUCGGAGAAAGUGUUUAUAGCCUUUGGCCUCUGCAAUCGGAGAGAUUGAGGUCUGCAGCGUAGAUCCUUCGGGGUUAGAUACAUUUGUGCUAAGUUAUAGCCUUUCAUAGACAACUUGUUGACUAUGAUCAGUCAUGUAGCUUACUCGCUUAUGCUAUUUUACCUACGCUUAGGAUGUUGAUGUGAUACUGCGAGCA
This 774-nucleotide ribosomal RNA is filed under the name uncultured Neocallimastigales. RNAcentral's name for it is "partial large subunit ribosomal RNA". It matches the Rfam family "Eukaryotic large subunit ribosomal RNA", at positions 23 to 629 of the family's 3401-position model. Lineage: Eukaryota; Fungi; Neocallimastigomycota; Neocallimastigomycetes; Neocallimastigales. The record is from RNAcentral.